UCCCUGGUGGUGCAGUGAUUAGGGCUCGGGACUUUCACUGCCAACACCCGGGUUCAAUCCCCGGUCAGGGAA
Molecule: transfer RNA, 72 nt
Filed under: Bos taurus (domestic cattle)
Lineage: Eukaryota; Metazoa; Chordata; Mammalia; Artiodactyla; Bovidae
Also listed under: 4 other names
Rfam family: tRNA
About the family: Transfer RNA (tRNA) molecules are approximately 80 nucleotides in length.
Source: Rfam by way of RNAcentral